RNAcentral lists this ribosomal RNA (301 nucleotides) under uncultured bacterium. RNAcentral's name for it is "partial 16S ribosomal RNA". It matches the Rfam family "Bacterial small subunit ribosomal RNA", at positions 509 to 809 of the family's 1533-position model. The record is from RNAcentral.
CAGUAGCCGCGGUAAUACGUAGGUGGCAAGCGUUGUCCGGAAUUAUUGGGCGUAAAGCGCGCGCAGGCGGAUCAGUUAGUCUGUCUUAAAAGUUCGGGGCUUAACCCCGUGAGGGGAUGGAAACUGCUGAUCUAGAGUAUCGGAGAGGAAAGUGGAAUUCCUAGUGUAGCGGUGAAAUGCGUAGAUAUUAGGAAGAAUACCAGUGGCGAAGGCGACUUUCUGGACGAAAACUGACGCUGAGGCGCGAAAGCCAGGGGAGCGAACGGGAUUAGAUACCCCGGUAGUCCCUGUCUCUUAUACA